Podarcis lilfordi (Lilford's wall lizard) is the source of this 302-nucleotide non-coding RNA. The record is from the annotation of a GenBank genome assembly. Lineage: Eukaryota; Metazoa; Chordata; Lepidosauria; Squamata; Lacertidae.
AGAUAUGCUGAGGGCGAUCUGGCUGCGACAUCUGUCACCCCACUGAUCGCCAGGGUUGAUUCGGCUGAUCUGGCUGGCUAGGCGGGUGUCCCCUUCCUCCCUCACCGCUCCAUGUGCGUCCCUCCCGAAGCUGCGCGCUCGGUGGAAGAGGACGACCAUCCCAGAUAGAAGGAGUGUACCGUUCUUCGGUCAAGGGUAUACGAUAGCUGCGCUCCCCUGCUAGAACCUCCAAACAAGCGCAGAUAUGCUGAUGACACAACCUUGAUGGCAGAAAGUAAGGAGGAAUUAAAGAACCUUUUAAU